This 468-nucleotide ribosomal RNA is filed under the name uncultured bacterium. Its description in RNAcentral is "partial 16S ribosomal RNA". It matches the Rfam family "Bacterial small subunit ribosomal RNA", at positions 28 to 507 of the family's 1533-position model. The record is from RNAcentral.
GACGAACGCUGGCGGCGUGCUUAACACAUGCAAGUCGAACGGAAAGGCCCUGCUUUUGUGGGGUGCUCGAGUGGCGAACGGGUGAGUAACACGUGAGUAACCUGCCCUUGACUUUGGGAUAACUUCAGGAAACUGGGGCUAAUACCGGAUAGGAGCUCCUGCUGCAUGGUGGGGGUGGGAAAGUUUCGGCGGUUGGGGAUGGACUGGCGGCUUAUCAGCUUGUUGGUGGGGUAGUGGCUUACCAAGGCUUUGACGGGUAGCCGGCCUGUGAGGGUGACCGGGCACCAUGGGACUGCGGGAGGGACCAGUGUCCUACGGGAGGCAGCAGGGGGGAAUAUUGUCCAAUGGGACGAAGUCUGAUGCAGCAACGCCGCGUGCGGGAUGACGGCCUUCGGGUUGUAAACCGCUUUCGCCUGUGACGAAGCGUGAGUGACGGUAAUGGGUAAAGAAGCACCGGCUAACUACGUG